UCCAUUUAAUUCUGUGCUAAGGUGCUGAGGCGGCAACUGCGCUGGUGGCGCCAAGGCCGAGCCCCAGGUGGAGGUGAACCUCCGCAGGCGCUGCCGGCCCCUGCAGCAGUCUGGGAAGUCUCGGCGGUUCUGCGCAUUGCCGGGGUGAGGAUGCGGCUCUUCUUUCGGCUGCUCAAGCAGCCGGUCCCCAAACACAUCGAGCGCUACUCCCGCUUCUCUCCAUCGCCGCUGUCAAUCAAACAGUUCCUGGACUUCGAGGAUGCCAUUCCAACACCAGCAGGCUGAAUGCGGUUGUGAAACACCUGAAAAUAAAACAAAAAUGGAACUCAGCAUUGCCGAAGGAAAAUCAAGGUGACUUAGGCUCUCAAAGCCAAGCUCUGUUUAAAUCUUUUGACUUAAAAAUGUCAUGGGAUGGUGUCAGUUGUGUAUAAAAAGUGAAAAAUUGGUAGAACCUUCUGGGAAGACCAGCUAUACAGAAUGUGAUGUUGUCUAUAAUUGGGGGAAACAUACAGGAUAGAAAGAGAGGUUUAGGUUAAAUAUUUAAGGCGAUGCCAAAUUAAAUUU
Molecule: long non-coding RNA, 564 nt
Organism: Mesocricetus auratus (golden hamster)
Lineage: Eukaryota; Metazoa; Chordata; Mammalia; Rodentia; Cricetidae
Exons: 3
Source: RefSeq, a predicted model, not a curated record